GCUGGCUGUAAAGCAGAGCCAACAUUAAGCAGCCACUGCUCAUGAUAUUAUAAACAGAAAUGGUUACAUUACAAUCAUGUUUACAGAAACAUUAGUUAAAUACAAAGACAACUGCAGUGAUAUGUGAAACAAAAAUGACUAAUUUAAAAGGCCUUCAUAUCAACAUAUUUGCCUGUGAGAAAUACAAUAUAGAAGAGCACAAGCAAGAAAGCUGUAAAAUAUAAGUUAGAUUGUGUGAAAUGCUGCAUUUUGGUAACACAUAGCUGCCUCAUUUUGUAUAAGCAUUAGCUCUAGAGCCGAUUUGGGGGCAUCUUGCCGGACAUAGCCUUAGUGGAUGGGUCAUCCAAAACUUUGUCCAGUGAACGAUACUGCAAUUUUACACUCUCUG
Molecule: unclassified non-coding RNA, 388 nt
Filed under: Hevea brasiliensis (rubber tree)
Lineage: Eukaryota; Viridiplantae; Streptophyta; Magnoliopsida; Malpighiales; Euphorbiaceae
Source: RNAcentral